RNAcentral lists this long non-coding RNA (6817 nucleotides) under Malus domestica (apple). Its description in RNAcentral is "long non-coding RNA (MDOM_LNC014346)". Lineage: Eukaryota; Viridiplantae; Streptophyta; Magnoliopsida; Rosales; Rosaceae. The record is from RNAcentral.
CCUGGAAGUGCUUCAAUUUCACCAAAACCGUGAAGAACCCUAGAAUUUGGUGUUUCCAAUUCGACCUUCAAACUUGUUCCAACGCCUCUACUACCUCUUGGGCUUUGUUCUAGGUCCUAAAGGAAUGCUAAUGAUGUUAGUAAUUGAAAGAAAACAUUUCAAAAUUUCAAGAAUUUAAACAAAAGGGUCGCGGCACCCGUGUGGGUGUUCUUCGCGAAAUCACAACGAAAUUCAAUGAUUCUUGGGGUGAAACAUAAAGAGGGAAGGCCUAGAUGUUGAUUGGGAGUGGUACCUUGAUCCAAUUCGUUGGAAAAUUGGACGAAACGGCGAAAACCCGCCGAUUUGGAAGCUUGGGUCGCGCGGGUCAAAGGUGACCCAUUCCUCCUGUUCCCCCGUGCACCACUCUCCCUCCUUUCCCUCCUUUCCUUCCCCUGGUUGAUCAGUUUCUUCCUCUCUCUUCUUCUGAUUCGCUCGCAUCUUCUUCUUCUCCGAUUGGGCAUUUCUGCCCAGUCUCUUCUUCUUUUCUGUUUUCUGUUUCUUCUUCUCAUACACAUACACACACCAAAAACCUUUCCCUCAUCCCAGCCAACCAUUUCAUUCAUCAUUAAAUCUGGGCCGUCCAUUUUCAUAAAAGAAUUUCUAUAUUUUACUAAAAUUAUAAUUCCUUAAAAUCCCAACUUCAAACUUUAAUAACUUCUUCGAUAUAACUCCAAAUCACGAACCGUCUGCGCCCAUGCGUCCGUAACGACGAGUACUACCAGGAUAUGCCAAGGAAACAAAUCUUAGAUGGCACGACAUGGUGAUUAACCUCGAAUAAUGCACGUACCUUCAAAGGGCAUUUUUGUAAAAUCCUUUAUCAAAACUUUAAAAAUUCUUAAAAUUAGGGACGGGCUGUCACAAUCUACCCACCUUAAAGAAAUUUCGUCCUCGAAAUUUACACAAUCUUUACAAUCCAUCAAUAUCCAUGAAACAGCCCGAAACACAUCUCUCUCAUUCGAUUCUCUGAUUUUCAAGUAGUUUCUUCCACUGAAAGAUUCCUCCAUAAAUUUUCACCAAACUCAUAGUCUUAUUUCUCAGUACAUCAUCUUUCUAAUACAAGAUAGGCACUGGCUCAUCAUCAUACGUCAAAUCCAGAUUGACUUCCAAAGGUUGAGGAGGUAUCACUCGUGAAGGAUAUGAGGUUUAAUGUCGAAGUAUCGAAACAUAAAACAUAUCGUGCCCUUUCGUUGACUCUGGAGGCAACUCAGCCUGAACGUAACUUCACUGACUCGUUCGAUGAUCACAUAUGGUCUGAUGUAUCUAGGACUUGCUUGCUUUUCUUUUUAAAACGAAUCAUACUUUUCCAAGGUGAUAAUUACUUGAAUAUUCCAAAUAGUCUCAUCUACUAACUCAGGGCCUCGAAUACUAACCGUCCCCAAUUCUAAUAAUUUCGAAACACAAGACAUAGCUUUCCACGGCCUUAUGGCGUUACUCUAGGGAACAAACUGAAGGGACCACAUACCCAAGAAGUUUAUCAGAUCCCAAAUCUCUUUUUCCAUCAAACAAAUAAAUAACUGUUGCGCUUGUCUGGAAAGGUUGAUGUUCUCAUACUGAAGUAACAUACGCUGACGUCACCAGUCGAUCAAUUAUUAUUCAAAUUCCAACCUAACUAUUUGGUAUACGAGGAAGCUUGUCCAUGAAAUCCAUAGUAAUAUUCUCUCAUUUCCGCCGUGGAAUGGGAAAUGACUACAUUAUUCCAAAAGACUUAUUUCUUUCUGCUUUAACCUGAUGACUGAUGAUACGCUUACUAACAUACUUCGCCAUUUCUCUUUUCAUACUCGGUAAAUAGUAAAAUGUUCGAAUGAUAAGAUACGUUUUAAUACCUUCAUGACGCCUUGCAUAAGCUGCACCGUACGCUUCGUCCAUAACUGGUUUCUUUAAUUCCAUAACAUUAGGUAUAAACACCUUGUUCUCUUGCAUAAGCUUGCCAUCUGAUUCUCUAACUCUAAGGUCUUUCUUUUUCCCGUUAUUCCUUGCAUUAAAUAAAUUCUUGAAUUUCUUCGUCAAACGCUUGAGUCUCGAGUACGAUCUACCAAAUGGGUCCAACUUGGAAAUUAGCAAGGCUUCUUCUCGAUUUUCGAUACCAACUUUACUCCAGUAGAUUUCAAAUCCACAAGAAGAUGAACAUAGCAAGCGUACCAAGCAUUAAUUCUCACUGGGGUCUUCCUACUAAAUGCAUCAGCCACAAUAUUAGCUCGACCACCCUAGUCGCACAAUCAUAAUCACUAAGCAACUCAAUCCACCUUUGUUGCCUAAGAUUAAUAUCUCUCCGCGUAAACAUAUAUUGGAGACUCUUAGGAUUCAUUAAAAUCUUGCAUUUCUCACCAAUAAUAUAAUGUCUCCAUAACUUCAAAGUAAGAAUGAUAGCCGCCAAUUCCAAUUCACAAGUAGGGUAAUUCGUCUCAUGAGAUCUCAAUGGCCAUAAAGCAUAAACAAUCAUCCUACCAUGUUGCAUCAACACGCAUCCAAGAACAUUCAACGUAGCAUCACUAUAAACCUUAUAAUUACCGCUAUAAUCUGGAAGCGUUAAAACAGGCGUGAAGUGAGAUAAUACUUCAGCUGCUGAAACCUUGCUCACAAUUUCAUCCACUCAAACCUAACCUUUUUUUCUCAUCAAUCUCGCCAAAAGCCAAGCAUUGAUUAAAAUCUUGGACGAACUAUCGAUAAUAUCCUGCUAAUCCGAGAAAACUCUGAACCUCAGUCACGGUUCGCAAUUGUUCCAAAUUCUCAAUCGUUGCUACUCUUUUAAGAAUCCACUUGAAUACCUUAAGUAGAUAUAAUUAAUUUAUCCAACAUUAGCAUUUGUUAAACUUAGCAUACAUCAACAUUCCCUCAAUCUUUGCAACACCAAUUUAAAAUAUCUAGCAUGCUCCGUUCUAUUCUUAUGAAUCUCGUCAAUGGCAAACAAUAACAACCCGGUCUAGAUAUCACUGGAAUACUUCCUUCAGCAAACUCAUAAAAAUAGUAGGUGCAUUCGUCACUCCGAAUGGCAUCCCAACUUGAAAUGACCAUAACGAGUCCUGGAUUCAGUCUUAUGAACAUCCUCACUGCUAAUCUUCAACUAAUAUUAUUCAGACCUCUAGUCAAUCUCAUAAAGUACCCAGGCGCCUUAGAGCUGAUCAAAUAAUCAUCAAUACACAACAAUGGAUAACGGCUCUCAAUCGUUAUCCGAUUCAAUUACCUAAUAUCAAUGCCUAGCCUUAAUGUCCACUUUCUUCCUCACAAAUAAACCGGAGCUUUUCCAAUAUGAUGAAUUAAGUUGAAUGGAACUUUUAACUCAACUUGAACCAAUCUCUAACAUAAGAUUUGCACCUAGAGACAAUUCAAUAGUGAAACCCACAUCUCUGCCUGGCGGCAAUCUAGGUAAGUCAUCUGGGAAUACACCAGGAAAAUGUCUAACCAUCUUUACAUCUUCCAUACUAUUAGGAUCAACAUCAUUUAGCACCAUAUGAACUAAAUAUCUUAGCAGCCUUUUGAUAACAAUCUUCUUUGCUCUCUCAACAGGAAUAAUGGCAUGACUCACUCCACUUUGCUUACCCCCAAGAGUAAUCUCUAGUCAUCUAGGUCGACAAAAAUUAACUGAUUCUCCAUAGCAAUCUAGCUUGGCACAUUUAUACUGCACCCACUUGUGCCAAAAAAUCACCUCAAAAUCCAUAAUAUCCAACGGAAUAAAAUUCACUGACAUGACAUUUUUCACCAUCACUGGACACCCUGAAUAAACCAAAUCAACAUAAAGUGCCUUACUUGUUUACUUACUUAACGAAUCCAACAAAUAAGUUAUAAAUAUUACGGUCUGCAGCCCGCAAUACAAAUAACUCACUGUUGUCUCGAUAAGUAAGUAACAAUUCCUGAAGGGUGUAAUAUUAUCAUCUUGUUCUUCCUUAGAAAUACAUAAAUACGCCUCAAUCGUGCUCCAACAUUACUUUCUUUGGCAACAUCGACCAUAAUAAGAAAUAUAUCAGCCGGAGUUAGCUAGAAUGACAUGUACGGCUGAGUCUACAACUCGACCAUCCAUGCUAGCACAUAAGUCGGAGUCACAUAUAGUGACCUGUACGACUUACUCGUCAAUUUUUCCAAGUGAUAUGUUAAGGAAGACUGUUGGGUAACAACUGAUUCCAGGGACAAUUCAUACCUCUAUGUCCCAUCCGUCCACAUGAACACAUUCACUGAUUCCCACACUCUCCAAAGUGUCUAAUAUUAUACCUAUGGCACAAAGGUACAUUUCCCUUACUCGAGUCACCUUGUCUUUAAGAUCUGGGAUCACCCGUAAAUUUAUCACUUCGCCUCGAACCAGUGGCACUAAAACCUCAGCUGGGAAAAUUAGCUCUAAUUUCACUUCCUUUGAAGCUCUGAGUCCUUCGACGUCCUUGAUAUGACGAAUCUUUAACUUUAUCGUCUUAUUCUUAUUCUCAUUCCUUUCUUAUUCCUCUUUACUCUCGCCGAUCAUAUUCUCAAAGUCCUCAAAGCCCAACAACAUCUCGUAAACUCCUGGUAAAAAGUACAAUGGAUUGUGGUCGUCAAAGAACGCCAAUUCUUCUUAUUAUCCAGCCAAAAACGACAGAACACCUUGACCGGAUUAGCAACAACAUCUGAAUGGAAACAAGGCAAGUCUGUAUUCAAAUUUAACUUAUAUCCAGUUUCAAAAGUUCCUUUAGAUAAUAGACUGAAUCAUAGUGACAAUAAUUUCCCCAAAACUACUAUAUCAGGGAAAUUAGGCUUAUUCGAACUACGUGGCUCGCUACGAGGCGGUAUAGUUCUGACAGAAGACACUAGGAAAUUCUCAAGAUGUCCAGAAUUGCAACCUAGGCUCUGAUACCAACUGACACACCCCGUCCCGAAGGAGGGCGUGCUGGCCGUCACGUGAGAGUGACGUAACCAUUUACACAGUUCGGAAGCUUUAAAGAAUACAAUUACUAAGAUAACACACCCGAGGGUGAGUCAUACUUUUGUGAAUUCUGUUAGAACACCGUUGGAUUCCUCGUGGCCACCAAAGCUCUGCCAUCUAGGACCUGGAGGGGCGCAAAACAAAAUUGAGUGGGUCAGUAAAACAAAGUUUUUCGAAAACAUUUCAUUUAAAACAUUUCUAACCCCUCACCGUAAAACCUGUAUACUUUCCCAGAAAAAAAAAAUAUAUAUAUAAAACCAUAUGAAAUCUCAAAACUUAAAUCCCAAAUCUUUAACAUUUUUCAAGAAAAAUAUGCCAUGCCAUAAAUCAAAAUAUAAAUCAGGUGAAAUAAGGAAUCAAUCGGAGACCCUGCAGUUGGUCCUAUACGAUUAAUUCAAUAGCUCAAUAUCCCACUAAGCCGGAGUCACCACAGUGACCUAUACGGCCCUACUCUGCACAUCACUCGGAACUACGUAAGGUAGUCUAUACGAUGAAAGGUGUAAAAAUACGCUCUAGUGCUUCUCUCAUCAAUCAUCAGCGCGCAUAACUAAGGUCACCCACUAGUCGGAAUCACGCCUAGUGAUCUGUACGACUAGCAUGUCGGAACCCUCACAUGGUCUGUACGACAUCCACCUACUUGGAUCCAAGGCGAGCGUGCGGUGUGGUGAAUAAUAUAAGCACUAACACCUAGGGUGCAAGUUAUGAGCUCAAAACAUCUCAACAACAAACAAUUCAAUGAAUAAAUGAACUCACCUGACUUACCUGUGCCUCCACAGCACCAUGCAACAUGUAUGCAUCAUAUAUCAAUUCAUUCUUUUCAUAAACUUCUAUGCUUGGCAUUUCAAUUCAUACUUUUCAUAAACUUCUAUGCAUGGCAUUUAAAAACAUUUUCUCAUAUAAAUGCAUUUCUGGGAAAACAAUAGUAUAUAGGUAAUACGAAAACAAAACUGCCCACUCACCUGGAGUUCGCCCAACAACUUCCUAGCACCGUACAUCAAGGCGUCAUGAAGAUUAGCGCCUAGAACAAUAAUUAAAUCCAACCUCAGAAAUCAUGCCGAUAGAAUACAUAACUUAUAUAAGACACGUCUCUACGUAGUUCGAUCCGGAUGAUCUGCAACUCAGAUUUCAAAUCCGUAACUUCCAGAGGUCCACAAUAUACCUCUAGGACAACAUCCUAAAAUUUCAUUACCAUCCAACGGUCGGAUCUCCGUCAAUUUCCAAAACUAAGUGACGGUUAACAUUCUAUUUUAUGAACUUACAACUUCAAUUCCGGAAGAUCCGUAAAUUGGAUUCCCAAUCCGUAAGUUCCUAUAAUCCUCAAAUAUUACGUAUUACAACGUAUCAAAGUUUGAUGACGAUCCAACGGUCGGAUCGUCAAUUCACAUUUUCACCUAACCAUGAAUCGUAACCAACUUAGGUUCAAUUAUUCAAUUUACGUCCAUCAAUUAUCAAAACUGAACCUAGAACCUUAAUCACAUGCUAAUAAUGACAUUGGCGGGCCAUUGGCCACGCACCGCCGCGCGGGCCGCCGCGGGUGGCGGUUGGCCGCCCCGGCUCGCCGGAAAAUUCAACUAUUUCCAAAAAUUACCAAAAUUUGCAGAUUUGAAGAUCUCAAUGAGUAGAACAACUUUCAUACCUGUGGACAAGGCCAAUUGGGCCUGGAAGUGCUUCAAUUUCACCAAAACCGUGAAGAACCCUAGAAUUUGGUGUUUCCAAUUCGACCUUCAAACUUGUUCCAACGCCUCUACUACCUCUUGGGCUUUGUUCUAGGUCCUAAAGGAAUGCUAAUGAUGUUAGUAAUUGAAAGAAAACAUUUCAAAAUUUCAAGAAUUUAAACAAAAGGGUCGCGGCACCCGUGUGGGUGUUCUUCGCGAAAUCACAACGAAAUUCAAU